AAACCAAACAAAUCAAAUAAAAAUAU
RNAcentral lists this non-coding RNA (26 nucleotides) under Trypanosoma brucei brucei. The record is from RNAcentral. Lineage: Eukaryota; Euglenozoa; Kinetoplastea; Trypanosomatida; Trypanosomatidae.